Molecule: ribosomal RNA, 443 nt
Filed under: uncultured bacterium
Lineage: Bacteria
Description: partial 16S ribosomal RNA
Rfam family: Bacterial small subunit ribosomal RNA
Source: RNAcentral
CCUACGGGGGGCAGCAGUGGGGAAUAUUGGGCAAUGGAGGCAACUCUGACCCAGCAAUGCCGCGUGAGUGAUGAAGGUAAUUUUAUUGUAAAGCUCUUUUCUUUGGAACGAAUAAAUGACGGUACCAAAGGAAUAAGCUCUGGCUAACUAUGUGCCAGCAGCCGCGGUAAUAUGAAUGGGGCAAGCGUGGUUCGGAAUGACUGUGCGUAAAGGGUGUGUAGGUGGUUUGAGAAGUUAGAUGUGUAAUAGCCAGGGCUUAACUCAGGUGCUGCAUCUAAAACUGUUAGACUUGAGUUCUGGAGAGGAUAGUGGAAUUCCAAGUGUAGCGGUGGAAUGCGUAGAUAUUAGGAGGAACAUCAGUGGCGAAGGCGACUAUCUGGACAGCAACUGACACUGAGGCACGAAAGCGUGGGGAGCAAACAGGAUUAGAUACCCCAGUAGUC